This 113-nucleotide small RNA is filed under the name Marmota monax (woodchuck). The record is from RNAcentral. Lineage: Eukaryota; Metazoa; Chordata; Mammalia; Rodentia; Sciuridae.
GCUGGGUGUGGCGCUGCACAACUGUAAUCCUAGUGGCUUGGGAGGCUGAGGCAGGAGGAUCACUGAGUUCAAAGCUGCAAGGCCCUAAGCAAUUUAGCAAGACCUUGUCUCUA